AUUGAACGCUGGCGGCAUGCCUUACACAUGCAAGUCGAACGGCAGCACGGGAGCAAUCCUGGUGGCGAGUGGCGAACGGGUGAGUAACAUAUCGGAACGUGCCCAGUAGUGGGGGAUAACCCGGCGAAAGCCGGACUAAUACCGCAUACGACCUACGGGUGAAAGCAGGGGAUCGCAAGACCUUGCGCUAUCGGAGCGGCCGAUAUCAGAUUAGCUUGUUGGUGGGGUAAAAGCCUACCAAGGCGACGAUCUGUAGCUGGUCUGAGAGGACGACCAGCCACACUGGGACUGAGACACGGUCCAGACUCCUACGGGAGGCAGCAGUGGGGAAUUUUGGACAAUGGGCGCAAGCCUGAUCCAGCCAUUCCGCGUGCAGGAUGAAGGCCUUCGGGUUGUAAACUAGCUUUUGUACGGUAACGAAACGGUACUGCCCUAA
This 436-nucleotide ribosomal RNA is filed under the name uncultured bacterium. RNAcentral's name for it is "bacterial SSU rRNA". It matches the Rfam family "Bacterial small subunit ribosomal RNA", at positions 30 to 465 of the family's 1533-position model. The record is from RNAcentral.